UUGCAAGCCUUCCAGCAUGCUUGGGUCUAGGGUGACUCAGUGCAUUCCUUGCUAGAAUGUCCUGAAAUGGUUUGAGGCUUUGCCCUGUCCCUGCCUCGGAGCAUGGUCAUAGACAUUUCAGGCAGUU
This is a small nucleolar RNA of Ailuropoda melanoleuca (giant panda), 127 nucleotides long. NCBI's taxonomy places the organism in Eukaryota, Metazoa, Chordata, Mammalia, Carnivora, Ursidae. The record is from Ensembl.